AGACCACCAGCUAAGGUCCCAAAAUAUAUGUUAAGUGGAAAAGGAUGUGGCGUUGCCCAGACAACUAGGAUGUUGGCUUAGAAGCAGCCAUCAUUUAAAGAGUGCGUAAUAGCUCACUAGUCGAGUGACACUGCGCCGAAAAUGUACCGGGGCUAAACAUAUUACCGAAGCUGUGGAUUGUCCUUUGGACAAUGGUAGGAGAGCGUUCUAAGGGCGUUGAAGCAUGAUCGUAAGGACAUGUGGAGCGCUUAGAAGUGAGAAUGCCGGUGUGAGUAGCGAAAGACGGGUGAGAAUCCCGUCCACCGAUUGACUAAGGUUUCCAGAGGAAGGCUCGUCCGCUCUGGGUUAGUCGGGUCCUAAGCUGAGGCCGACAGGCGUAGGCGAUGGAUAACAGGUUGAUAUUCCUGUACCACCUAUAAUCGUUUUA
This 427-nucleotide ribosomal RNA is filed under the name Staphylococcus aureus. Its description in RNAcentral is "partial 23S ribosomal RNA". It matches the Rfam family "Bacterial large subunit ribosomal RNA", at positions 1029 to 1461 of the family's 2925-position model. The record is from RNAcentral. Lineage: Bacteria; Bacillati; Bacillota; Bacilli; Caryophanales; Staphylococcaceae.